This 202-nucleotide unclassified non-coding RNA is filed under the name Hevea brasiliensis (rubber tree). Lineage: Eukaryota; Viridiplantae; Streptophyta; Magnoliopsida; Malpighiales; Euphorbiaceae. The record is from RNAcentral.
AUUUUGUUCUGCAACUUUGUCAUGUUACCUAUCUGAUAAAUCCCAGCCUUACUAGUGGCAUAUAGGAUUUUUAAUUUAUGCAUUUUAAAUUUUACCAUAUGGUAAUUAAGGAGUUGCUGAAUCAUGGUGCUAUAACAAUAUGUUCUUGUGUUCUUUUCUUGAAAAGGAUUUUUAUGUAUUUAAUCUUUUUUUUUUCUAGCCG